UUUUCGGCGAGGAAGAGGAAUAGUAAGCGAUCGCGCAGACUGGAGAGAGCCGGCGGGUGGUGCGAGCCGGUGUUGCGUAUCGCCGAACUGGCCUCGGAGCCGGAUCCGUGAACCGAGAGUAAUGGAUCCCGGGAGGCCCACGAAAAGGGUCACAUGAAGGGUGCCGGAUGUCACGAGAAGAGUCCGGCGCUGAAUCAGGGUGGUACCACGGAGCGCGCAAGCCUUCGUCCCUGGC
This 235-nucleotide non-coding RNA is filed under the name Nitrospirota bacterium. RNAcentral's name for it is "Nitrospirae bacterium T-box sequence". It matches the Rfam family "T-box leader". Rfam says of the family: Uncharged tRNA acts as the effector for transcription antitermination of genes in the T-box leader family. T-boxes are found upstream of many aminoacyl-tRNA synthetase genes and some amino acid biosynthetic genes usually in Gram-positive bacteria. Lineage: Bacteria; Pseudomonadati; Nitrospirota. The record is from RNAcentral.